Molecule: ribosomal RNA, 534 nt
Filed under: Varzea bistriata (two-striped Mabuya)
Lineage: Eukaryota; Metazoa; Chordata; Lepidosauria; Squamata; Scincidae
Description: partial 16S ribosomal RNA
Rfam family: Bacterial large subunit ribosomal RNA
Source: RNAcentral
AAGUAUUAAAGGUCCUGCCUGCCCAGUGAUUUUUUCAACGGCCGCGGUAUUCUAACCGUGCAAAGGUAGCGUAAUCACUUGUCUUUUAAAUAAAGACCUGUAUGAACGGCUAAAUGAGGAUAAGCCUGUCUCAUAUAACUAAUCAGUGAAACUGAUCUUCCAGUACAAAAGCUGGAAUAAUCACAUAAGACGAGAAGACCCUGUGGAGCUUAAAACAACCACUAAACAAACAACUAAACUGUCUUAGCGCGCGUUUUCAGUUGGGGCGACUUCGGAAUAAAAACCAACUUCCGAGCACAGAGCCACAAUCUCUAACCGAGGCCAACAAGCCAAAGCACCAAAACCGACCCGGCCUUGCCGAUCAACGAACCAAGUUACCCCAGGGAUAACAGCGCAAUCUUCUUCGAGAGCCCCUAUCAACAAGAAGGUUUACGACCUCGAUGUUGGAUCAGGACACCCAAAUGGUGCAGCCGCUAUUAAAGGUUCGUUUGUUCAACGAUUAACAGUCCUACGUGAUCUGAGUUCAGACCGGAG